AAAAAUCCCCAUUAAAGGAAAAGCAACCUGACUAAUUGUAAGUACAAAAAAAAAAAAUCUUUAUAUCGUUCAUUUCUAUCGGAUGCUGCCGGUCGAUGAGGAUGUCCGGAUCGUCGAUGAGGAAAACUGGAAUUCCCCCAAGAGUUUGAAUACAGUCGAAUACGAUUAAAAGGUAGCCAAGGGAUGUUGACUUCUAUUCGAUCGCUACGCGCCCAUUGCCAGGGGUCCAAAAUACCAGCGUGACAAACGACGGGUGCGAGGAACAACACCAAAGCCAGUGUCGACGUGAACCCCAUUGAGUCUUUCUCAACGUUGUUUUGACCAGCAAAAAUCCUCCGCAUACUGUGAGCAAACGACGAAGAGAAAAUUGCAGAAACAAUCUCGUACCCGUGACUCGACUCCAGACCGUCGACUACCACCGAGUCGACGUACACCCUCGGUCUCGUGAUCAGUCGCCAGGUGAGAGGAUUCAAGGUCGUGUGAUAUUGCCAGGUUACCUCCGCCGCCGUCGGUUUUCCAACAAUUUCACCCGGUACGACCAUCGUGUGAGUACUUCCCGGUUCGUAAUAUCUCGAGUGUUCGCUGAACGGCAUAGGCGCGAUCUGCGUCUUGUGACUUCCGACGACACGGAUCAUGAAGACACCGACCUCACCGCCGUGGCUUAUGCUCUCCGCCGUCUCCGAGAUUUUUAUCUUCACGCGAUAGUGACCUCCUGUUAAUUUCGAAACCCCACCCCACCCCACC
RNAcentral lists this unclassified non-coding RNA (744 nucleotides) under Athalia rosae (coleseed sawfly). RNAcentral's name for it is "misc RNA ENSAEAG00005003255.1". The record is from RNAcentral. Lineage: Eukaryota; Metazoa; Arthropoda; Insecta; Hymenoptera; Athaliidae.